CCAACGGCCCUCUUUAGGGCCACAAAUGACAGAAUGCGAACAUAUUU
Molecule: non-coding RNA, 47 nt
Organism: Angiostrongylus costaricensis
Lineage: Eukaryota; Metazoa; Nematoda; Chromadorea; Rhabditida; Metastrongylidae
Source: Rfam